RNAcentral lists this long non-coding RNA (883 nucleotides) under Triticum aestivum (bread wheat). RNAcentral describes it as "long non-coding RNA (TAES_LNC005800)". The record is from RNAcentral. Lineage: Eukaryota; Viridiplantae; Streptophyta; Magnoliopsida; Poales; Poaceae.
GCCCAGGAGCAAUCAUCUCCUGCUCCAAACAGCCCCGACGUGCUGCUGAGUGUUCUACCAUCCAGGAAUUGUGUGGGUUUUUGUUUCGACUCGCUUCCAAAAUAUAGUUUUGAUUCCUAUUUAUUCUGUCCCUUUUGGAUGACUGUCCUGAAAUUGAACAGUGAGUUGGAGAAUGCCGCUUCUUUCACUCUGAUUCAAUCUUGAACGGGUGCUGAUGCAGAUCAACUGAGGUAUGGAAAUCACUGCCGCAUUUUGCAGCAGUUGAUGCAUCUUGCAUCUUGCAUGUUCUGCCCACUCCGAGCCGAUCAUCCUGCAUGCACUGGUCGAAGCUGGAGUUCGGUUCAGAAGUUGGAGGUCGUGUAACUCGAUUGGUGCUCCCCCAGUGCAGCUCAUAAAAAUUUCUCUGUUUAGAUAUGCAGUGUAGAGCAUAGUUGACCGGGGAUGCUCAAGUGUAGUUUGUCUCUUUUUUCUUGAAGUAUUGUGUAGUUUGUCACUUGUGCCGUGCAGGUUUCCUUUGUCUAUGUGGAUCACUUUGUGAAAAAAUUUGUACCAAGGAGUUCACGUUUUAUUGUUUUUGGAGGAGUUGUUUUUGCAAUAUUGCAUGGACUAGUUCAUAAUCUGUUAAAAAACGAUGCCCUUCACACAGAAAACCUUGUCGGUGCACUUUGCAAAACAAAAAGGAGUUCACUAUGUAAAAAAACUUUGCAAAACAAAGGAGUUCACUAUGUAAAAAAACUUUGCAAAAACAAAGGAGUUCACUAUGUAAAAAAUUGUAUAGAGGAGUUCACUUUUUAUUAUUUUUGGAGGAAUUGUUUUUUCUGAAUUUGUAAGGACAUGGCGUAUAAUUUGUUAAAAUCGAUGCAACUCACUAAGAAAACCUUUG